RNAcentral lists this ribosomal RNA (414 nucleotides) under uncultured bacterium. RNAcentral describes it as "bacterial SSU rRNA". It matches the Rfam family "Bacterial small subunit ribosomal RNA", at positions 8 to 429 of the family's 1533-position model. The record is from RNAcentral.
AGAGUUUGAUCCUGGCUCAGGACUAACGCUGGCGGCGUGCCUAACACAUGCAAGUCGAACGGGGGUAGCAAUACCCCAGUGGCAGACGGGUGAGUAACACGUGGUCAACCUACCUCUGUGUGGGGGAUAACUAGCCGAAAGGUUAGCUAAUACCGCAUACGAUCGUUUUGAGGCAUCUCGAGACGAUGAAAGGAGCAAUCCGCACGGAGAGGGGACUGCGUCCCAUUAGUUAGUUGGUGGGGUAACGGCCUACCAAGACUCCGAUGGGUAGCUGGCUUGAGAGAGCGACCAGCCACACUGGAACUGAGACACGGUCCAGACUCCUACGGGAGGCAGCAGUGAGGAAUUUUCCGCAAUGGGCGAAAGCCUGACGGAGCGACGCCGCGUGUGGGAUGAAGGCCUUCGGGUCGUAAA